CCUACGGGUGGCAGCAGUGAGGAAUAUUGGUCAAUGGCCGGAAGGCUGAACCAGCCAAGCCGCGUGAAGGACGAAGGUGCCAAGCAUUGUAAACUUCUUUUGUCAAGGGACAAAAUCAGGCUCGAGAGCCUGACCGAGGGUACUUGAAGAACAAGCAUCGGCUAACUCCGUGCCAGCAGCCGCGGUAAUACGUGGGAUGCGAGCGUUAUCCGGAUUUAGUGGGUUUAAAGGGUGCGUAGGCGGACUGUUAAGUCAGCGGUAAAAGCCCGGGGCUCAACCCCGUCGAGCCGUUGAAACGGGCUGUCGUGAGAUGUCGAGAGGUAUGCGGAAUGCGCAGUGUAGCGGUGAAAUGCUUAGAUAUUGCGCAGAACUCCGAUUGCGAAGGCAGCAUACCGGCGGCGAUCUGACGCUGAGGCACGAAAGCGUGGGUAUCGAACAGGAUUAGAUACCCCAGUAGUC
RNAcentral lists this ribosomal RNA (459 nucleotides) under uncultured bacterium. RNAcentral describes it as "partial 16S ribosomal RNA". It matches the Rfam family "Bacterial small subunit ribosomal RNA", at positions 338 to 795 of the family's 1533-position model. The record is from RNAcentral.